GCUCAGGAUGAACGCUGGCGGCGUGCUUAGCACAUGCAAGUCGAACGAAGCGCUUAAACGGAUUUCUUCGGAUUGAAGUUUUUGCGACUGAGUGGCGGACGGGUGAGUAACGCGUGGGUAACCUGCCUCGUACAGGGGGAUAACAGUUAGAAAUGACUGCUAAUACCGCAUAAGCACACAGUGCUGCAUGGCACAGUGUGAAAAACUCCGGUGGUAUGAGAUGGACCCGCGUCUGAUUAGCUAGUUGGUGGGGUAACGGCCUACCAAGGCGACGAUCAGUAGCCGGCCUGAGAGGGUGAACGGCCACAUUGGGACUGAGACACGGCCCAAACUCCUACGGGAGGCAGCAGUA
Molecule: ribosomal RNA, 352 nt
Filed under: uncultured bacterium
Lineage: Bacteria
Description: bacterial SSU rRNA
Rfam family: Bacterial small subunit ribosomal RNA
Source: RNAcentral